Molecule: long non-coding RNA, 926 nt
Filed under: Vigna radiata
Lineage: Eukaryota; Viridiplantae; Streptophyta; Magnoliopsida; Fabales; Fabaceae
Description: long non-coding RNA (VRAD_LNC008677)
Source: RNAcentral
CGGUUUUUCAACCGUUAUCACAGUCCCAAACUUAGAAUUUUGCUUGUCCUCAAGCAAAACAAGAUGUAACUCAGUUUUCAAACAAUCAAUACAAUGGAUUAAUACUUUCCACAACUCUUUCGUCCCAGACAAGUAAUCACUCUCAGCUUAUCAUGAAAAUAUCAGUCAAGAUGUAUAGAUGCAUUACUUCCAUUAAACUCAAUAUGGUGUUCACAUAAUCAUAGUCUUUCCAACAGAUGCUAUUAUCAUGAAUGACCAAUUAACCAAGCAUAUAUGCAAUCAUGUAUAACUAGAACUACUCCUCACCAAGAAAAGUGUUUCACUCAAGCACACAAGUGUAUAUUGAGGUGACUCAUUCUCUUUACUAUCACAAUGUAACACAAAUUAACUUUGCCUUUCAUUUAACCACAAUCAAUCAUACUCACAACAAGUUAUCAUCACAAGGACUUUUCAUGGCUUGUAACGUGAUUGAGAUAAGAAGAACAUUGGUUUUUCUGGAUUACAAAAUCCUUGAGUUAAGAGAGUUAUUCAUAUUUAUAAUUUACACACAAACUCUCUUUAAACAACCAAUCUCACUUAUUCUCAACUUUCCCUUUUCUUUGCAUUGAGCUUUUCUUCUCAUUUUAUCUUUUUUUUUUCUUUUAUCUUUUCUAUCUUUUUCAUUUUCUCAUGUUUUGCUCAACACAUUAGCUCAAUGCUUAUCUUUUUCUUUUUCAACUUUCCCAACAGCCCCAAACUUGAACCUUUAUCAAUACCACACAAUAAUUCUCAACUUAACUCAAGGUAAAGAUUUGCAAAAGGGUUUUCUUAUACUGUUUAAAGCUUAGGUUCAAAAAGGGUAGAACACAUUGUGCUCUUUUUAAUUGGGACGAAACUUUUUGCAUUGGCUAAGAAAGGGCUAAAUCAAAAAUGGCCUUGAUCAUAUG